RNAcentral lists this ribosomal RNA (119 nucleotides) under Myotis davidii. Lineage: Eukaryota; Metazoa; Chordata; Mammalia; Chiroptera; Vespertilionidae. The record is from RNAcentral.
GCCUACCUCCAUACCACCCUGUACACGCCCGGUCUCGUCUGACCUCAGAAGCUAAGCAAGGUCGGGCUCGGUCAGUAUGUAGAUGGGAGACCGCCUGGCAAUGCCAGAUCCUGUAGGCU